Molecule: non-coding RNA, 378 nt
Organism: Nicotiana tabacum (common tobacco)
Lineage: Eukaryota; Viridiplantae; Streptophyta; Magnoliopsida; Solanales; Solanaceae
Source: RefSeq, a predicted model, not a curated record
GUGUGUGUGUGUGUGAGAGAGAGAGAGAGAGAGAGAGAGAGAGAGAGAGAGAGAGAGAGAGAGAUACAAGAUAUAUUGUAUCUAAAGCUUGAAGCUUUAGCAAAGAUGUAUUGCGAACAUAUAAAUCCUAUUGAUUAGAAUCCAUUGGAAUAAUGGUGUCUUGUAAAAAGCUUAAACUGGUUUUAGAGAGAGAGAGAGAGAGAGAGAGAGAGAGAGAGAGAUACAAGAUAUAUUGUAUCUAAAGCUUGAAGCUUUAGCAAAGAUGUAUUGCGAACAUAUAAAUCCUAUUGAUUAGAAUCCAUUGGAAUAAUGGUGUCUUGUAAAAAGCUUAAACUGGUUUUAGAGAGAGAGAGAGAGAGAGAGAGAGAGAGAGAGAGA